This 253-nucleotide ribosomal RNA is filed under the name uncultured bacterium. Its description in RNAcentral is "partial 16S ribosomal RNA". It matches the Rfam family "Bacterial small subunit ribosomal RNA", at positions 524 to 776 of the family's 1533-position model. The record is from RNAcentral.
UACAGAGGUGGCAAGCGUUGUUCGGAAUUACUGGGCGUAAAGGGCGCGUAGGCGGUUCGAUAAGUCCUGUGUGAAAUCCCUCGGCUCAACUGAGGAACUGCACGGGAGACUGUCGGGCUUGAGUUCGGGAGAGGGAAGCGGAAUUCCGGGUGUAGCGGUGAAAUGCGUAGAUAUCCGGAGGAACACCGGUGGCGAAGGCGGCUUCCUGGACCGACACUGACGCUGAGGCGCGAAAGCUAGGGGAGCAAACGGG